UAAGUCGUCAGUGCACCCGGUUGGAGG
RNAcentral lists this small RNA (27 nucleotides) under Bombyx mori (domestic silkworm). RNAcentral describes it as "ovarian small RNA-19409". Lineage: Eukaryota; Metazoa; Arthropoda; Insecta; Lepidoptera; Bombycidae. The record is from RNAcentral.